Unclassified non-coding RNA from Bison bison bison, 84 nucleotides. The record is from Ensembl. NCBI's taxonomy places the organism in Eukaryota, Metazoa, Chordata, Mammalia, Artiodactyla, Bovidae.
GGCUCCGUCCUACUGGACCUGCCGCGAGAUAGAUACCCGAGACGGUCUCCUGAAGGCGACCACUUCGCCUGGUCCCCGAGCGUC